UGCCAGCCGCCGCGGUAACACGGGGGGCGCAAGCGUUAUUCGGAAUUAUUGGGCGUAAAGGGCGCGCAGGCGGUCUUGUCCGUCAGGUGUGAAAGCUCGGGGCUCAACCCCGGAAGUGCACUUGAAACAGCAAGACUUGAAUACGGUAGAGGAGAGAGGAAUUCCUGGUGCAGAGGUGAAAUUCGUUGAUAUCUGGAGGAACACCGGUGGCGAAAGCGGCUCACUGGACCAUCACUGACGCUGAGGUGCGAAAGCCAGGGUAGCAAACGGGAUUAGAUA
RNAcentral lists this ribosomal RNA (279 nucleotides) under uncultured bacterium. Its description in RNAcentral is "partial 16S ribosomal RNA". It matches the Rfam family "Bacterial small subunit ribosomal RNA", at positions 506 to 784 of the family's 1533-position model. The record is from RNAcentral.